UACGUAGGUGGCAAGCGUUGUCCGGAUUUAUUGGGCGUAAAGCGCGCGCAGGCGGUCCUUUAAGUCUGAUGUGAAAGCCCACGGCUCAACCGUGGAGGGUCAUUGGAAACUGGGGGACUUGAGUGCAGAAGAGGAAAGCGGAAUUCCACGUGUAGCGGUGAAAUGCGUAGAGAUGUGGAGGAACACCAGUGGCGAAGGCGGCUUUCUGGUCUGUAACUGACGCUGAGGCGCGAAAAGCGUGGGGGAGCGAACAGG
Molecule: ribosomal RNA, 255 nt
Filed under: uncultured bacterium
Lineage: Bacteria
Description: partial 16S ribosomal RNA
Rfam family: Bacterial small subunit ribosomal RNA
Source: RNAcentral